Oxyura jamaicensis (ruddy duck) is the source of this 921-nucleotide long non-coding RNA. RefSeq lists it as uncharacterized. The record is from RefSeq and is a predicted model, not a curated record. Lineage: Eukaryota; Metazoa; Chordata; Aves; Anseriformes; Anatidae. The transcript has 3 exons.
GGACAACAGCCAGCAGGGGAAGGCAGCACGGCACAGAGGGUCUGCCUGUCUCCAGCGGUGUUACAGCCAUGCAGGGAGACCGGCAGGACGGGAGAGGAACCUAAAUUAUACCUCGUAUGAAGUGGAGCUGGGAGACGUUACACCACGCAGAAUGCCUUCCAGGUUAAAGAACUCAGAUCUGAAUCGCUAAGCAGACUGGCUUGUUUCAUGACCAAGAAUAAGAAAGAGAGAUGCAAAAAGCCAGCCAUUAAAGCCCAAACUCAUGAUGGAUCCUGCUGAGACUCGUGUUUAACAGCUCCUUCCUGGAGUGGCUCAAGCAACAACAAGAAAAAAAAAUAUUGUGAAAGUCACACCCCAUUGAAAUUGCAUCCUAAAGGGACCUGGUGAGUGCAGUAAUUACCAGAAUGACUCUGAACACCAGGGCCACGCUUGGCUCAGAGAUGGCCAUACAUGUUAAAAUUAAAAAGGACUCUAAGCAGACACAAGAAAAGUGGAAAUUAGGGACUAAAGAGCAGGCACAAGAGCGAUUCAUCAUUCCUGAUAAGGAGCCAUUAGGCUGGAUUUUGAAGGGACCAGGACCCAGGGAAGCCUGCCUUUCUAAGCUUACAAAUGCUGUGUAAUCCCCAACUGUUUCAGAUAAUGGAAAACUGCAUUAACCUUGUAAAGUUUCCCCGGUGGCUCUAUCACAUUGACCCUCUUACAAACCUCUCUGCUACUUUGUUUACACCCUCUGGGCCUCCAGAUCCUGAUUUCCACCCUCUGGGGCCAAUGCAGAAUGCCUCAGUACACGAGAUCAGAAUCCAGCCCCUUGUUAUUUCAGCCGGAACAAGAUUUCUGCCUUGUUUUAGCCAUUGGGAUAGCCUUGACGUGCUUUGACUUGCCUGCACCAAAAAUGUAAACAGCAGCACUAAGUACAACAAU